RNAcentral lists this transfer RNA (59 nucleotides) under Podarcis lilfordi (Lilford's wall lizard). Its description in RNAcentral is "tRNA.Ala". Lineage: Eukaryota; Metazoa; Chordata; Lepidosauria; Squamata; Lacertidae. The record is from RNAcentral.
GGGCUCAGUGGAGGAGCAUCUGGUUUGCAUGCAGAAGGUCCCAGGUUCAAUCCCUAGCA